This 1155-nucleotide ribosomal RNA is filed under the name human gut metagenome. RNAcentral's name for it is "bacterial LSU rRNA". It matches the Rfam family "Bacterial large subunit ribosomal RNA", at positions 1326 to 2494 of the family's 2925-position model. The record is from RNAcentral.
AAACCCCCUCGCCGAAAGACUAAGGUUUCCUGAUCAACGCUAAUCGGAUCAGGGUUAGUCGGGUCCUAAGGCUCAGCCGAACGGUGAGGCCGAUGGCAGAACAGGUUAAUAUUCCUGUACUACCUUAAGGAGUGACGUGGAGACGGAGGCGUGACAGCGCCGCGGACUGACGGAAUAGUCCGUUGAAGGGUGUAGAUGUUGAUUAUCCCAGGCAAAUCCGGGAUAAGAGUCGAACCUGAUAGUAUGGAGCGUUCUUCGGAACAAUCCAAUAGUGCGUGUAAUCAUACUCCCAAGAAAAUCCGCUAAACUUAAUCCUUGAGGUACCCGUACCGCAAACGGACACACGUAGUCGGGUUGAAUAUACUAAGGCGCUUGAGUGAUUCACGGUUAAGGAACUAGGCAAAUUGACCCUGUAACUUCGGGAUAAAGGGUCCCAACGAGAGUUGGGCGCAGAGAAUAGGUCCAGGCAACUGUUUAACAAAAACACAGGGCUGUGCCAAAUUGAAAGAUUACGUAUACAGCCUGACACCUGCCCGGUGCUGGAAGGUUAAGAGGAGAUGUCAUCGCAAGAGAAGCAUUGAAUUGAAGCCCCAGUAAACGGCGGCCGUAACUAUAACGGUCCUAAGGUAGCGAAAUUCCUUGUCGGGUAAGUUCCGACCUGCACGAAUGGUGUAAUGAUCUGGACGCUGUCUCAACCGUGAGCUCAGUGAAAUUGUAGUAUCGGUGAAGAUGCCGAUUACCCGCGAUGGGACGAAAAGACCCCGUGAACCUUUACUAUAGCUUAACAUUGAAUUUGGGUAAUUGAUGUGUAGGAUAGGCCGGAGACUUUGAAGCAGGUACGCCAGUAUUUGUGGAGUCGCUGUUGAAAUACGGCCCUUUGAUUAUUUGAGUUCUAACUCGUAGUUGCGAGGACACUGUUUGGUGGGUAGUUUGACUGGGGUGGUCGCCUCCAAAAGUGUAACGGAGGCUUCUAAAGGUGCCCUCAGGACGAUUGGUAACCGUCCGUAGAGUGUAAUGGCAUAAGGGCGCUUGACUGGGAGACAGACAAGUCGAUCAGGUAGGAAACUAGAGCAUAGUGAUCCGGUGUUUCCGUAUGGAAGGGACAUCGCUCAAAGGAUAAAAGGUACUCCGGGGAUAACAGGCUGAUCCCUCCCA